CUAUACAUGCAGUCGAGCGAAUCGAUGGGAGCUUGCUCCCUGAGAUUAGCGGCGGACGGGGGACGACACGUGGGCAACCUGCCUAUAAGACUGGGAUAACUUCGGGAAACCGGAGCUAAUACCGGAUACGUUCUUUUCUCGCAUGAGAGAAGAUGGAAAGACGGUUUACGCUGUCACUUAUAGAUGGGCCCGCGGCGCAUUAGCUAGUUGGUGAGGUAAUGGCUCACCAAGGCGACGAUGCGUAGCCGACCUGAGAGGGUGAUCGGCCACACUGGGACUGAGACACGGCCCAGACUCCUACGGGAGGCAGCAGUAGGGAAUCUUCCGCAAUGGACGAAAGUCUGACGGAGCAACGCCGCGUGAACGAAGAAGGCCUUCGGGUCGUAAAGUUCUGUUGUUAGGGAAGAACAAGUACCAGAGUAACUGCUGGUACCUUGACGGUACCUAACCAGAAAGCCACGGCUAACUACGUGCCAGCAGCCGCGGUAAUACGUAGGUGGCAAGCGUUGUCCGGAAUUAUUGGGCGUAAAGCGCGCGCAGGUGGUUCCUUAAGUCUGAUGUGAAAGCCCACGGCUCAACCGUGGAGGGUCAUUGGAAACUGGGGAACUUGAGUGCAGAAGAGGAAAGUGGAAUUCCAAGUGUAGCGGUGAAAUGCGUAGAGAUUUGGAGGAACACCAGUGGCGAAGGCGACUUUCUGGUCUGUAACUGACACUGAGGCGCGAAAGCGUGGGGAGCAAACAGGAUUA
This 746-nucleotide ribosomal RNA is filed under the name Bacillus sp. (in: firmicutes). RNAcentral describes it as "bacterial SSU rRNA". It matches the Rfam family "Bacterial small subunit ribosomal RNA", at positions 49 to 780 of the family's 1533-position model. The record is from RNAcentral. Lineage: Bacteria; Bacillati; Bacillota; Bacilli; Caryophanales; Bacillaceae.